RNAcentral lists this long non-coding RNA (571 nucleotides) under Anser brachyrhynchus (Pink-footed goose). Its description in RNAcentral is "lncRNA (ENSABRG00000012840.1)". The record is from RNAcentral. Lineage: Eukaryota; Metazoa; Chordata; Aves; Anseriformes; Anatidae.
GGUGUUUGUGCAACUGUGCAUACAUUUUCAUACAUACAGAGACCCAGGGAUUGAAUGUGUAUUUUUGGAUGUGUGAUGGUAUUGACCACAGGACUUUCAGAGCUACAUGUGCAGCUUGGGCUGCAGGAAUGAAUCCCUGGGAAAAGUACAAAUAAGCAAAUAUUUACUUAUUUAUUUUCCCAGAGAUCAUUUGUGUGUAUAUGAAGAAUUUGUCUUUUUUUUUUUUUUUUUUUUAGGGGUCUGAUGUGGAGUAGAGAAAUCCUAUUCCUGCAUUGGCUUGCCUUGUAGUUGACGAUGAGAGUGGAGUGACAGAUUAUGGACCUGACCUGUAUUGUCCUCAUUCACCACACUUUGGUUUUGUCUUCAGGGAAAAGAUGUUUGCUGGCUUGGAGACACCCUCACCAUGUUCCCAAUAACCUAUGCUUAGACUUAAAAUCUGGAAGAGGCCAAGCUUCUAGGAUGCCUUCUACUCAGUAGCAUGUCUUAGUAACUGCUUUAACUGGCUUUUCAUGAGCAACCUCUCCAAACCCUUCAAAAUAAAAUGCAAUUUCAUCUAGAGGUACUGAUCUUC